AGAAAGUACCCUGCAUUGUUGCACGUAGUGCAGUUUGGGAGUCGUCAGAGCAAACGGUUCUUUAUACGGACUGAUCGCCACGAUUUAUAAGGUUUACUGCUGUGUCUAGCCGUGUGUAAGUCUACCUGUGAUCCACCAUGAAGCUUCUCACAGCCGCCAUCUUUCUGACCUCCAUCGCUGGUAUCGUGAGUAUCAAGUGUUACACCUGUAACUCAGGGACUAGUGCCCCCGAUGAAACCAAUGCCUGCCGCGAUCCGUUGGACGCGACAGAUCCUGACGUUCGGGAGACUGA
This is a long non-coding RNA of Patiria miniata (bat star), 292 nucleotides long. RefSeq lists it as uncharacterized. The record is from RefSeq and is a predicted model, not a curated record. The transcript is spliced from 3 exons. NCBI's taxonomy places the organism in Eukaryota, Metazoa, Echinodermata, Asteroidea, Valvatida, Asterinidae.